This 253-nucleotide ribosomal RNA is filed under the name uncultured bacterium. RNAcentral's name for it is "partial 16S ribosomal RNA". It matches the Rfam family "Bacterial small subunit ribosomal RNA", at positions 524 to 776 of the family's 1533-position model. The record is from RNAcentral.
UACGGAGGGUGCGAGCGUUGUCCCGAAUCACUGGGCGUAAAGGGCGCGUAGGCGGCCUGAUAAGUAGGGGGUGAAAUCCUGCGGCUUAACCGCAGGGCUGCCUUCUAAACUGUCAGGCUAGAGCACAGUAGAGGCAGGUGGAAUUCCCGGUGUAGCGGUGGAAUGCGCAGAUAUCGAGAGGAACACCGGUGGCGAAGGCGGCGAUCUGGACGAUGACUGACGCUGAGACGCGAAAGCGUGGGGAGCAAACAGG